GAUGAACGCUAGCGGCAGGCUUAACACAUGCAAGUCGAGGGGUAGAAGGAGCUUGCUCCUUUGAGACCGGCGCACGGGUGCGUAACGCGUAUGCAAUCUACCUUUUGCAGAGGGAUAGCCCAGAGAAAUUUGGAUUAAUACCUCAUAGUAUGUGAGGAUGGCAUCAUUUUCACAUUAAAGUCACAACGGCAAAAGAUGAGCAUGCGUCCCAUUAGCUAGUUGGUAAGGUAACGGCUUACCAAGGCUACGAUGGGUAGGGGUCCUGAGAGGGAGAUCCCCCACACUGGUACUGAGACACGGACCAGACUCCUACGGGAGGCAGCAGUGAGGAAUAUUGGACAAUGGGCGCAAGCCUGAUCCAGCCAUGCCGCGUGCAGGAUGACGGUCCUAUGGAUUGUAAACUGCUUUUGUACAGGAAGAAACACUACUUCGUGAAGUAGCUUGACGGUACUGUAAGAAUAAGGAU
This 466-nucleotide ribosomal RNA is filed under the name uncultured bacterium. RNAcentral describes it as "bacterial SSU rRNA". It matches the Rfam family "Bacterial small subunit ribosomal RNA", at positions 28 to 493 of the family's 1533-position model. The record is from RNAcentral.